GACGAACGCUGGCGGCGUGCUUAACACAUGCAAGUCGAACGAUGAAGAAAAGAAUCGAAGCUUCGGCAGAAAUUCAUUUCGGAUUAGUGGCAGACGGGUGAGUAACGCGUGAGCAACCUACCUCUUACAAAGGGAUAGCCUCGGGAAACCGGGAUUAAUACCAUAUAACAUUGUGACGAAGCAUUUCGAUGCAAUCAAAGCUACGGCGGUAAGAGAUGGGCUCGCGUCCCAUUAACCGGAUGGUGAGGUAACGGCUCACCAUAGUGACGAUGGGUAACCGGCCUGAGAGGGUGAACGGUCACACUGGAACUGAGACACGGUCCAGACUCCUGCGGGAGGCAGCAGUGGGGAAUAUUGCACAAUGGAGGGAACUCUGAUGCAGCGACGCCGCGUGAGUGAUGAAGGAAUUCGUUUCGUAAAACUCUGUUCUAUGGGAAGAAAAGGACUGUACCAUAGGAGAAAGCUCCGGCUAAAUACGUG
This 480-nucleotide ribosomal RNA is filed under the name uncultured bacterium. RNAcentral describes it as "partial 16S ribosomal RNA". It matches the Rfam family "Bacterial small subunit ribosomal RNA", at positions 28 to 507 of the family's 1533-position model. The record is from RNAcentral.